Molecule: ribosomal RNA, 497 nt
Filed under: uncultured bacterium
Lineage: Bacteria
Description: partial 16S ribosomal RNA
Rfam family: Bacterial small subunit ribosomal RNA
Source: RNAcentral
GAUGAACGCUGGCGGCGUGCCUAAUACAUGCAAGUCGAGCGAACAGACGAGGAGCUUGCUCCUCUGACGUUAGCGGCGGACGGGUGAGUAACACGUGGAUAACCUACCUAUAAGACUGGGAUAACUUCGGGAAACCGGAGCUAAUACCGGAUAAUAUAUUGAACCGCAUGGUUCAAUAGUGAAAGACGGUUUUGCUGUCACUUAUAGAUGGAUCCGCGCCGCAUUAGCUAGUUGGUAAGGUAACGGCUUACCAAGGCAACGAUGCGUAGCCGACCUGAGAGGGUGAUCGGCCACACUGGAACUGAGACACGGUCCAGACUCCUACGGGAGGCAGCAGUAGGGAAUCGUCCGCAAUGGGCGAGAGCCUGACGGAGCAACGCCGAGUGAGUGAUGAAGGUCUUCGGAUCGUAAAACUCUGUUAUUAGUGAAGAACAAAUGUGUAAGUAACUAUGCACGUCUUGACGGUACCUAAUCAGAAAGCCACGGCUAACUACGUG